UUCCUUUUUUUUUUUUCUUCAUCGGCCUUUCUCUUCUCCUUCAUCACCUUUCUCCCAAAGCUGGCUCACCUCUUCUUAUUCAUGAAGAUUUCUUCACUUAGUUGCCUUUUUGCCAAACAACCUGGUUUUAUCUCUCAGGUCACUAAAAUUCCAUACAUACCUGUUCAAUUUGAUAGUUCAGAAUUCGGAAUUAGGGUAUUGUGAAGAAAGAGAAUUUUAAAAGAAUUAGGGUAUUGCGUUGCCACCUCGUUACAAAAAAUUCCUUUUUCUUCCACGCAAUCCAAUACCCAAUAGCCCAAACCCCUCUCCAUCGUCUUUUCGUUUCCUCUGCCUUUUGUUUUUUUAAGAAAAAAAAACAUUACAUUACUCAAAAAUUUAAUUUAAUAUCCUUUUUCAACCUUCUCGUUGUUAUUUCUUUUUGUUCCUUUGGUGUUUCUUCAACCCUUGUUUUAUGUUUCCGCGAACCAGAGAAUCAGCCAAACUGUUUUUCUAGAUUGUUAAGGCUUCAAAAGAAGCUGCGUACGUCAGAGACCUCUCAGAUGAUUUGCUGCAGCCAACUACAAAACGGUCUCACAAUGUCUCAACCAAGGAAGUCAUAUUCUGGAAAAUUUUUAAGUGCCAACAAUUGAAGUGUUCCCUGCAGCUGCUCUAACACCUGCACUAGCAGCACCAGAGAUGAGAAUGAACUGAGGGAGGAAUCAGAAGCCCUUUGUUGGAGAACCCGAAUAUAUCCCCCUAGAAAGGCCAAGGUGUUAUUACUCUUUGUACUGACUCUUUCGAAUGUGUUAAUGGAUGAUGC
This is a long non-coding RNA of Ziziphus jujuba (common jujube), 799 nucleotides long. RefSeq lists it as uncharacterized. Lineage: Eukaryota; Viridiplantae; Streptophyta; Magnoliopsida; Rosales; Rhamnaceae. The transcript has 3 exons. The record is from RefSeq and is a predicted model, not a curated record.